GAGAGAUGAAGUCAUCAGCCCACAUUCCCCAGUUUCUUCAUGUGUAAUGUGGGCAUAGCUGUGACGAUCACUUGGGACUGCUCUGUGGAGAUUUAAAAUGGAUCUGCACCCAUUUCAGGUGAUCUUCCAGGCACUGUACCCCCUCUCCAACCUUUCCAGAAAGGCAAGGUGACCAACCAGAGCCCCUUGGGCCCAAGGAGCAUUCCCAACCACCUGUAUCCAGCUGUGAGCUUCACCAUGAGGAAACUGAGGCUUACCCAAGAUAAAUGGGCAGAGGUGAAACAGCUAGCAAGUGGCAGAGCUGGGAUUUGAAGGCUGGGCUGUCCUAGAUGGGAGUCUGAACUUCCAGGCACUGCAUAUGCCCUGAACUACAGGCCCAUCUGGGGCGAAAGGGAAGGAGAGAGACGUUGAAGACUCUUACAGCAGCUGGAUCCGGCCCUGACUCUGGUCCAGUCCCACCCCUAGCCACUCUUGCUGCCAUCUGACACCUGUCUGCCAAGAUUUCCCCAGCUUUGAGCAACCUCCAGCCUAGGAGCAGAAUGAUCGGGAGCGGAAAGGCCAGGAGCAGAAGGGCCAGGGAGGGCCAGGAAGGGCCAGGACCAGGUAUUUUUAGCAGAGUUGCUGGCAGCUGUCUGGAGGGUGCUGGGAGGUGAGGCGGUGCUGAGUUCAUCCUUUCCCUUCUCUGGGCCUAUAUUCCCUCCCCCAAAACCAAGCAUGCACCCCUACCUGCAAUACACUGCCAGAACACCUCCCUUCCUUCACCCCCUCCCCCAGAAAGCUCUCCACGUGUCCCCAGAGGCUCCCAUGGUGACACUAACCCUCACCCUGAAGGACAGCCUCAUCAGGUAGAACCUUCAACUCCCCAGGGCAGGGAGGGGAAUAGGGAGGACUUGGCACCAAGGCCAGAAGCCCAGAUUUAGGACCCUUCAGUUCUAGCUCAUAUAUGGGCCUGUGGGGAGUGGGUGUCCUGAACAGAGAAGAAGGGUGAAGUCUGUCCAGCCUGUAUCCCUCGGCUUGCUUGGGCAACAGGCCAGGGCUGGGGGAGAGCAAAGGGAGAAUUCACUGUUAAAGGGCCAGAACUAAUUCUUCCCCAGAGAGGAGCUGGCACAGUUGGCUAGUCCGGCUUUCCCCCUUGACCCCACCCAGGAUGGUACCCCCAACUCCAAAUCCCUCCCCCACACCAUUCAACC
Non-coding RNA from Leptonychotes weddellii (Weddell seal), 1190 nucleotides. Lineage: Eukaryota; Metazoa; Chordata; Mammalia; Carnivora; Phocidae. The record is from RefSeq and is a predicted model, not a curated record.